CUGACGAGCGGCGGACGGGUGAGUAAUGCAUAGGAAACUGCCCAGUAGUGGGGGAUAGCCCGGGGAAACCCGGAUUAAUACCGCGUACGCCCUUCGGGGGAAAGCAGGGGAUCUUCGGACCUUGCGCUAUUGGAUGUGCCUAUGUCGGAUUAGCUAGUUGGUGGGGUAAAGGCCUACCAAGGCGACGAUCCGUAGCUGGUUUGAGAGGAUGAUCAGCCACAUCGGGACUGAGACACGGCCCGA
RNAcentral lists this ribosomal RNA (243 nucleotides) under uncultured bacterium. Its description in RNAcentral is "partial 16S ribosomal RNA". It matches the Rfam family "Bacterial small subunit ribosomal RNA", at positions 88 to 334 of the family's 1533-position model. The record is from RNAcentral.